UACGUAGGGACCAAGCGUUGUCCGGAAUCAUUGGGCGUAAAGAGCUCGUAGGCGGCCUGUCGCGUCUGCUGUGAAAUCCCGGGGCUUAACCCCGGGCGUGCAGUGGAUACGGGCUGGCUGGAGGCAGGCAGGGGAGAACGGAAUUCCCGGUGUAGCGGUGAAAUGCGCAGAUAUCGGGAGGAACACCGGUGGCGAAGGCGGUUCUCUGGGCCUGUACUGACGCUGAGGAGCGAAAGCGUGGGGAGCGAACAGG
This 253-nucleotide ribosomal RNA is filed under the name uncultured bacterium. Its description in RNAcentral is "partial 16S ribosomal RNA". It matches the Rfam family "Bacterial small subunit ribosomal RNA", at positions 524 to 776 of the family's 1533-position model. The record is from RNAcentral.